ACAUUCACCUGGCAUGGGGGACGCCAUGACACAAAGGUGGUUUUCUCAGGGAGGUCAUCCAUUGCUCUCUGGACACUGCAUUUCCCCCAAAUCUGGGAAACUCGGCUGCGUAACUUGUGAUAGCUUGCACUCUCGCUGCACG
Molecule: small nuclear RNA, 142 nt
Filed under: Peromyscus maniculatus bairdii (prairie deer mouse)
Lineage: Eukaryota; Metazoa; Chordata; Mammalia; Rodentia; Cricetidae
Description: U1 spliceosomal RNA (ENSPEMG00000001277.2)
Rfam family: U1 spliceosomal RNA
About the family: U1 is a small nuclear RNA (snRNA) component of the spliceosome (involved in pre-mRNA splicing). Its 5' end forms complementary base pairs with the 5' splice junction, thus defining the 5' donor site of an intron. There are significant differences in sequence and secondary structure between metazoan and yeast U1 snRNAs, the latter being much longer (568 nucleotides as compared to 164 nucleotides in human).
Source: RNAcentral